RNAcentral lists this ribosomal RNA (253 nucleotides) under uncultured Longilinea sp. RNAcentral describes it as "partial 16S ribosomal RNA". It matches the Rfam family "Bacterial small subunit ribosomal RNA", at positions 524 to 776 of the family's 1533-position model. Lineage: Bacteria; Bacillati; Chloroflexota; Anaerolineae; Anaerolineales; Anaerolineaceae. The record is from RNAcentral.
AACGUAGGGGGCGAGCGUUAUCCGGAUUUACUGGGCGUAAAGCGCGUGCAGGCGGCUAGGCAGGUUGGACGUGAAAGCUCCUGGCUCAACUGGGAGAGGUCGUUCAAUACCGCCUGGCUUGAGGGCGGAAGAGGGGAGUGGAAUUCCCGGUGUAGUGGUGGAAUGCGUAGAGAUCGGGAGGAACACCUGUGGCGAAAGCGGCUCCCUGGUCCGCACCUGACGCUCAGACGCGAAAGCGUGGGGAGCGAACAGG